RNAcentral lists this ribosomal RNA (497 nucleotides) under uncultured bacterium. RNAcentral describes it as "partial 16S ribosomal RNA". It matches the Rfam family "Bacterial small subunit ribosomal RNA", at positions 28 to 507 of the family's 1533-position model. The record is from RNAcentral.
GACGAACGCUGGCGGCGUGCCUAAUACAUGCAAGUUGAGCGCUGAAGGUUGGUACUUGUACCAACUGGAUGAGCAGCGAACGGGUGAGUAACGCGUGGGGAAUCUGCCUUUGAGCGGGGGACAACAUUUGGAAACGAAUGCUAAUACCGCAUAAAAACUUUAAACACAAGUUUUAAGUUUGAAAGAUGCAAUUGCAUCACUCAAAGAUGAUCCCGCGUUGUAUUAGCUAGUUGGUGAGGUAAAGGCUCACCAAGGCGAUGAUACAUAGCCGACCUGAGAGGGUGAUAGGCCACAAUGGGACUGAGACACGGCCCAAAAUCCUACGGGAAGGAGCAGUAGGGAAUCUUCGGCAAUGGACGAAAGUCUGACCGAGCAACGCCGCGUGAGUGAAGAAGGUUUUCGGAUCGGAAAACUCUGUUGGUAGAGAAGAACGUUGGUGAGAGUGGAAAGCGCAUCAAGUGACGGUAACUACCCAGAAAGGGACGGCUAACUACGUG